UACGUAGGGUGCAAGCGUUGUCCGGAAUUAUUGGGCGUAAAGAGCUCGUAGGCGGUUUGUUGCGUCGGCUGUGAAAACGCGAGGCUCAACCUCGCGCCUGCAGUGGGUACGGGCAGACUAGAGUGCGGUAGGGGAGAUUGGAAUUCCUGGUGUAGCGGUGGAAUGCGCAGAUAUCAGGAGGAACACCGAUGGCGAAGGCAGAUCUCUGGGCCGUUACUGACGCUGAGGAGCGAAAGCGUGGGGAGCGAACAGG
This 253-nucleotide ribosomal RNA is filed under the name uncultured bacterium. RNAcentral's name for it is "partial 16S ribosomal RNA". It matches the Rfam family "Bacterial small subunit ribosomal RNA", at positions 524 to 776 of the family's 1533-position model. The record is from RNAcentral.